UCACCAGGCCCAGCUCAUGCUUCUUUGCAGC
Molecule: non-coding RNA, 31 nt
Filed under: Homo sapiens (human)
Lineage: Eukaryota; Metazoa; Chordata; Mammalia; Primates; Hominidae
Source: RNAcentral